This 133-nucleotide non-coding RNA is filed under the name Nothobranchius furzeri (turquoise killifish). The record is from RNAcentral. Lineage: Eukaryota; Metazoa; Chordata; Actinopteri; Cyprinodontiformes; Nothobranchiidae.
CUUGUUUCUGGCUUUCAGCUAACUACAGGAGGUCUCGGAGGGCGUACCGGUUAAACAAAAAAGCCAGAAAUGUCACCCCGUCAAUCUCAGAGCCGUGUCGGGAGACUCUGAGUCUCCUGCCGUGGUCGGCUUG